Molecule: long non-coding RNA, 485 nt
Organism: Pygoscelis adeliae (Adelie penguin)
Lineage: Eukaryota; Metazoa; Chordata; Aves; Sphenisciformes; Spheniscidae
Exons: 5
Source: RefSeq, a predicted model, not a curated record
CAAGAUGAACAAACCUCACCCAGCAGAGCCCUAGCACAGCUACAGAGGGGACCACCUACCCAGCCCCGCUCCUUGGGAGGCUCCAGAUGAAUCGUGGCUUUGAGACAUCUCUCCCUGGGCACAGCCUCUCUACCACCUCCUCCUCAUCCCUGCUGCUGAUGGCUCCGUUGCUGCCACCCAGCAGCUCAGCUGAUGCCCCUGCCAUCCAGGGACCUGCACAGCACUCCCCAUGUCCCAGACAGCCAGACUCCUGAUAAAACAAUGACCAUCUCCCAGCUCAGCAGAAUGCUCCUAUGACUCUGCAGACCAUAUUUACAGCCAGAAUGGUAGAAUUCCAUGAACAAUACCUUGUUUCCUGACUGGCUUCCAGAAUAAUCGUUCAUACCUUAUUUUCUUAGGCUGUUACUGGAUAUUGUUCUUACUUCCAAAGAUUCAGAUGGCUGGUUGGGUUAAAAGACCUUGAGCAAAAUUCUGUACUGUGCAUA